UACGUAGGGGGCAAGCGUUAUCCGGAUUUACUGGGUGUAAAGGGAGCGUAGGUGGCAUGGUAAGCCAGAAGUGAAAACCCGGGGCUCAACCCCGCGGAUUGCUUUUGGAACUAUCAGGCUGGAGUGCUGGAGGGGUAAGCGGAAUUCCUAGUGUAGCGGUGAAAUGCGUAGAUAUAUGGAAGAACACCAGUGGCGAAAGCGGCUCUCUGGUCUGUAACUGACGCUGAGGUUCGAAAGCGUGGGUAGCAAACAGG
This 254-nucleotide ribosomal RNA is filed under the name uncultured bacterium. RNAcentral describes it as "partial 16S ribosomal RNA". It matches the Rfam family "Bacterial small subunit ribosomal RNA", at positions 524 to 776 of the family's 1533-position model. The record is from RNAcentral.